UACGUAGGAGGCGAGCGUUGUCCGGAGUUACUGGGCGUAAAGCGCACGCAGGCGGUCGAAAAAGUUUGGCGUGACAGUUGGUGGCUUAACUGCCAAAGGAUGCUGAAAACUGGUCGACUUGAGAGCUUCAGAGGGACACGGAAUUCCGGGUGGAGUGGUGAAAUGCGUAGAGAUCCGGAGGAACACCGAAGGCGAAGGCAGUGUCCUGGGGAGCAUCUGACGCUCAGGUGCGAAAGCCAGGGGAGCGAACGGG
Molecule: ribosomal RNA, 253 nt
Filed under: uncultured bacterium
Lineage: Bacteria
Description: partial 16S ribosomal RNA
Rfam family: Bacterial small subunit ribosomal RNA
Source: RNAcentral